GCUGGACGUGGUGGGGCACACUUGUAAUCCCAUUUGCUCAGGAGGCUGAGGCAGGAGGAUCGCCUGGACAACUUGGUGAGACACUGUCUCAA
RNAcentral lists this small RNA (92 nucleotides) under Marmota monax (woodchuck). The record is from RNAcentral. Lineage: Eukaryota; Metazoa; Chordata; Mammalia; Rodentia; Sciuridae.